This 515-nucleotide ribosomal RNA is filed under the name uncultured bacterium. RNAcentral's name for it is "bacterial SSU rRNA". It matches the Rfam family "Bacterial small subunit ribosomal RNA", at positions 8 to 518 of the family's 1533-position model. The record is from RNAcentral.
AGAAUUUGAUCUUGGUCAGGAUGAACGCUAGCUACAGGCUUAACACAUGCAAGUCGAGGGGCAGCAUUGGAGUAGCAAUACUUCAGAUGGCGACCGGCGCACGGGUGAGUAACACGUAUCCAACCUGCCGCUUACUCGGGGAUAGCCUUUACGAAAGAAAGAUUAAUACCCGAUGGUGUAAAGAGUUCGCAUGUUCUCUUUAUUAAAGAAUUUCGGUAAGCGAUGGGGAUGCGUUCCAUUAGAUUGUGGCGGGUACGGCCACCAAGUCUACGAUGGAUAGGGGUUCUGAGAGGAAGGUCCCCCACAUUGGAACUGAGACACGGUCCAAACUCCUACGGGAGGCAGCAGUGAGGAAUAUUGGUCAAUGGACGAGAGUCUGAACCAGCCAAGUAGCGUGAAGGAAUGAAGGUCCUAUGGAUUGUAAACUUCUUUUAUAGUAGAAUAAAGUGAUCCACGUGUGGAUUUUUGUAUGUAUACUAUGAAUAAGGAUCGGCUAACUCCGUGCCAGCCGCGGC